AGCGCGGGAGCAAUCCUGGCGGCGAGUGGCGAACGGGUGAGUAAUACAUCGGAACGUGCCCAAUCGUGGGGGAUAACGCAGCGAAAGCUGUGCUAAUACCGCAUACGAUCUACGGAUGAAAGCAGGGGAUCGCAAGACCUUGCGCGAAUGGAGCGGCCGAUGGCAGAUUAGGUAGUUGGUGAGGUAAAGGCUCACCAAGCCUUCGAUCUGUAGCUGGUCUGAGAGGACGACCAGCCACACUGGGACUGAGACACGGCCCAGACCCCUACGGGAGGCAGCAGUGGGGAAUUUUGGACAAUGGGCGAAAGCCUGAUCCAGCCAUGCCGCGUGCAGGAUGAAGGCCUUCGGGUUGUAAACUGCUUUUGUACGGAACGAAACGGUCUUUUCUAAUAAAGAAGGCUAAUGACGGUACCGUAAGAAUAAGCACCGGCUAACUACGUGCCAGCAGCCGCGGUAAUACGUAGGGUGCAAGCGUUAAUCGGAAUUACUGGGCGUAAAGCGUGCGCAGGCGGUGAUGUAAGACAGUUGUGAAAUCCCCGGGCUCAACCUGGGAACUGCAUCUGUGACUGCAUCGCUGGAGUACGGCAGAGGGGGAUGGAAUUCCGCGUGUAGCAGUGAAAUGCGUAGAUAUGCGGAGGAACACCGAU
Molecule: ribosomal RNA, 647 nt
Filed under: uncultured beta proteobacterium
Lineage: Bacteria; Pseudomonadati; Pseudomonadota; Betaproteobacteria
Description: bacterial SSU rRNA
Rfam family: Bacterial small subunit ribosomal RNA
Source: RNAcentral